CCGUGUGUGGAGACUGGACUUCUGCUGCCACAAGCCAAGAUCUGCCAGAAGCCAGGAAGCCUGGAACAACGUCCUGAGCACCUUCGGAGGGAGCGCGGCCCUGCUCACACCUUGUUCUCCGACUCUGGCCUCCAGAAUGAGCUCAGACUCUCCCGUGGGUGAUCCAUGAGGAUGGUGCCCCCCCAGCCCACCCCGGAGACUCCAGAGGCGGCACAGUAAAGGCACACUGAGGCGACUGUGUUCAGGUCACACAGGCCGAGUAUGGAUCCAGAUGCGCCACCUCCCAGAUGACUGAUCCCAGGCUGCUGCGCUCCAGUUUCCCCCAUAAAAUGGACCAAUGAUACCUGCCUCAUGGCCACAAAAAGGAAUGAAGCACUGAGACCUGCUCUAAGGAGAGACCUUGGAAAUGUCAUGCUGAGUAAGAGAAGCCAGCAAGAAAGGUGUUCAUUGGACCCCUGCCAAGACCCCAGCCUGGACUGCACAGAGCUUCUAGACUCUCUGAGUUGGUUCUACAUACAUAGCUUAUUACUCCUUCCUCGGUUUCCUAUGGGGGAAAUGGGGGGCACUUCUCAGCAGGGCCGCUGUAAGGUUCCCAGGCCCAGGAACCAGCACGUGUAGGGGCUCAGAGGACAGCCUCUCUCCGCUCCCUCCCACUCUAGGACAGGAGCGAAAGGCAUAGAGGUGCCACUCAUCUCUGGUCUUUAAUCCUCGCCCUCACCUUCCAGCUAACCAGGACGAAGAUUCAUUCUGCAGCCACACUACUGGACAGCAGUUGUGGGUCCCAGCGGCCAAAGCUCCGGCUGAGGCUCCCCUGACUGCAAGCUCGGGUGCUACAUGGGGCGUGUGUUACAGGGGAAGCCCCCUCUGCCAGCAGAUCUCAUAAUCUGGGCACGUCUGGGACCCUGCCCACCCUGCAGGUGGAACUGAGGCCAUAAGUGGGACACCGUUGGUGACAGCCAAGUGAACCGAAGGCUUCACAUGUCCCACGUCUUGGUGGGCUCCCACAGCAGCCCUGGGGAUUCUAAUCCCACUUUAGAAAAGAGAAACUGAGGCUCAGAGUGGUUAAAUGGUGUGCCGGAGGAUCCUCCGUCAGGAAAUGGUGGAUUCAAAUGCAGCUCUAGCUGCCACCAAAACCAGCAGACACGCCUGGUGCCACACUGCCCGGCGGGGAGCCAGUGCGCAAGAAGCCCCUGAAGAGUCUCAGUUAAAGUUCAUCAGCUCCUGACACUUCAGCUCCCACACUGGUCACCCCUGGUCCCCACCUUCCUUCUGCCAACCAGAGGCAGAGAAUAUCAGUGGGUACCAAGCCAAACGGGGAAGCUAGAGGGACAGAGCCCCGCACCCCCAGUCUGCCCAGCCCUGCCCUUGGCUGUCCUCAGCCCCUCCACUCCAGGCC
Non-coding RNA from Manis javanica (Malayan pangolin), 1396 nucleotides. The record is from RefSeq and is a predicted model, not a curated record. NCBI's taxonomy places the organism in Eukaryota, Metazoa, Chordata, Mammalia, Pholidota, Manidae.